UGGGUCUUAUGGGAUAGCAUGUAAUGGGUAGUGAUGAACCUCUGAAUUUGACUCUGAUUGAAAUGAUAUGUGAUGAAUUUGUGAAAUAUUGAUGAAUGAAAUUGGAUGAUAAUUGAUGAAAUUGUAGGAAUUAGAUGUAGUAAGGUUAGCGAUUUGAGAAGUUGAAUGUAUCUGAGUUGUAAUUGAUAACACGAACGAACGUGUAUGAAAAAUUGGACUGUGAGAGGUUGGAUCCGAAG
RNAcentral lists this long non-coding RNA (239 nucleotides) under Lathyrus oleraceus (garden pea). RNAcentral's name for it is "Pisum sativum (pea) long non-coding RNA (PSAT_LNC000889)". Lineage: Eukaryota; Viridiplantae; Streptophyta; Magnoliopsida; Fabales; Fabaceae. The record is from RNAcentral.